RNAcentral lists this ribosomal RNA (258 nucleotides) under uncultured bacterium. RNAcentral describes it as "partial 16S ribosomal RNA". It matches the Rfam family "Bacterial small subunit ribosomal RNA", at positions 96 to 354 of the family's 1533-position model. The record is from RNAcentral.
UGGCGGACGGGUGAGUAACGCGUGGAAAACCUGCCGUAUACUGGGGGAUAACACUUAGAAAUAGGUGCUAAUACCGCAUAAGCGCACAGCUUCGCAUGAAGCGGUGUGAAAAACCCUGGUGGUAUACGAUGGUUCCGCGUCUGAUUAGCUAGUUGGUGGGGUAAUGGCCUACCAAGGCAACGAUCAGUAGCCGGCCUGAGAGGGUGAACGGCCACAUUGGGACUGAGACACGGCCCAAACUCCUACGGAAGGCAGCAG